AAAAAAUUAGUUAAAUAUUAUAACCUUAGUAUGUCAAACUAAAAUUAUUGAAUGUUCAAUAUUUUUUA
RNAcentral lists this transfer RNA (68 nucleotides) under Dacus axanus. RNAcentral describes it as "tRNA-Asp". Lineage: Eukaryota; Metazoa; Arthropoda; Insecta; Diptera; Tephritidae. The record is from RNAcentral.